AUCUACAGCCAUGCCACCCUGAACAAGCCCCAUGUCUGAUCUCGGAAGCUAAGCAGGGUCGGGCCUGCGUAGUACUUGGAUGGAAGACCACCUAAGAAGACCAGGUGCUGUAGGCA
This 116-nucleotide ribosomal RNA is filed under the name Pteropus alecto (black flying fox). The record is from RNAcentral. Lineage: Eukaryota; Metazoa; Chordata; Mammalia; Chiroptera; Pteropodidae.